This is a long non-coding RNA of Vicia villosa (hairy vetch), 206 nucleotides long. RefSeq lists it as uncharacterized. The transcript has 3 exons. The record is from RefSeq and is a predicted model, not a curated record. Lineage: Eukaryota; Viridiplantae; Streptophyta; Magnoliopsida; Fabales; Fabaceae.
CAAGCAUCUGUUUGGAAGUUUUCUUAUGAUGAAGAAUUUGUCAGUCAAAUUGAAAAGGAUUAUAUUGCUGAUGAGGCUCAUAGUCUUCCUCCCAUUCAAAAUGCUGUUGCUGAUCAUGUUGAUACUUCCAUGGAGUCCUUAUCUGCAUUUGGAGAAAAUGAUCCUGACAAGAGUUUGGCCAAUACCCCAUCAAAGAGUGUUUCUCA